UUUGUCAUCUGUGGAAAUGGUCGUCUUUAAGAAUAUGCCUGUAGGCCUGUAGAAAAUACAAGUCAAGUUCCACAGCUUGCAUGGAGUGCAUGCCACUGUCGCUACUACUACUUUCACUAUCCGCCGGUGUGAUUAAGAUCAUCCAAUUCUUCAUUCGUCAUUUCUCCAGUAAUUCUUUGAUUUCUCCAUCAGCCAUGUGGGUGCUACUUUGGUAGACGGUUGCACGGAUUUUGGCGAUUUUUUUUGGCAAGCGAUACGACUUAUGGUAAACCCGUUGCUAGACAAGUUGUUUAUGGAGGCGCUGAAAUACGGCCUUGCCCUCGUACUUAAGUGACGGCCCUCCAAGAUGGCCUAAUUUUAUGACAAGAAAUUGCUAUUUCAACAGCACUGAAGAAAUACAGAAAACCGUAACACCAGAUCCUUAAACACUGUUCCCAAAGAUGAAUUCUAGGAAGGAAUCAAGCAGAAAUAGGAAU
This is a long non-coding RNA of Stegodyphus dumicola, 476 nucleotides long. The record is from RefSeq and is a predicted model, not a curated record. NCBI's taxonomy places the organism in Eukaryota, Metazoa, Arthropoda, Arachnida, Araneae, Eresidae.